ACUCAAAUGAAUUGACGGGGGCCCGCACAAGCGGUGGAGCAUGUGGUUUAAUUCGACGCAACGCGAAGAACCUUACCUGGGCUCGAACGGCUGCAGACGUCUGGUGGAAACAUUGGAUUCCCCGCAAGGGGCUGUAGUCGAGGUGCUGCAUGGCUGUCGUCAGCUCGUGUCGUGAGAUGUUGGGUUAAGUCCCGCAACGAGCGCAACCCUUGUCCUGUGUUGCCAACCGCAAGGAGCACUCUCAGGAGACCGCCAGCGAUAAGCUGGAGGAAGGUGGGGAUGACGUCAAGUCAUCAUGGCCUUUAUGUCCAGGGCUACACACGUGCUACAAUGGACGGUACAAAGCGCAGCCAACCCGCGAGGGGGAGCAAAUCGCAAAAAACCGUUCUCAGUUCGGAUUGCAGGCUGCAACCCGCCUGCAUGAAGCUGGAAUCGCUAGUAAUGGCAUAUCAGAACGAUGCCGUGAAUACGUUCCCGGGCCUUGCACACACCGCCCGU
RNAcentral lists this ribosomal RNA (498 nucleotides) under uncultured bacterium. RNAcentral describes it as "partial 16S ribosomal RNA". It matches the Rfam family "Bacterial small subunit ribosomal RNA", at positions 899 to 1397 of the family's 1533-position model. The record is from RNAcentral.